Molecule: long non-coding RNA, 17456 nt
Filed under: Triticum aestivum (bread wheat)
Lineage: Eukaryota; Viridiplantae; Streptophyta; Magnoliopsida; Poales; Poaceae
Description: long non-coding RNA (TAES_LNC018315)
Source: RNAcentral
GGGCCUGUGGGCUGGUGGGUUGGAUGCCUAGUUGGGCCAAACGGCGGAAGGGGAGGGGGGAAGGCCCGGGGUUUUCUUUCUUUCCUUCUUCUUUGUUUUCUUUUUAUUUCAACUUCUUUUUCUAUUUAGUUUCUAAGCCAUUUUAGUCUUAAUAAGUACAAAAGUUGCUCCACAAUUAGUAUAGUAAUAUAGGCUACUGUCACAAAAAGGUUCGGGGCAAAUAAAAUAGUUUGGAUAUUUCUACCAUUUUGAAAAUGCAUUUUAAUAAAUAAUUGACCCAUGUUUUAAUUAUUUUAGGCCACUUAAUUACUUUACAAAAAGUUGAUUUCACCACCAUAAUUGCCUACGGAUUAUUUACCACCUUUUGAACAUUUUAGUUUGACAUUUGAAAACUUUUUAUAGUUUGGCUUUAUUUUAAAUUUGAACCCAAGCAAUUUUGAAUCUAAGCGAGAUUAUCAACAGUAAUCGUGGUGACUUGGCAUCAUUAGUAGGGGGUUACUGUAGCUUGAUUAUCCGGGCGUCACAAUUCUCCUCCACUACAAGAAAUCUCGUCCCGAGAUUUAAGAGGUAGUGAAAGGGGGGAAGGUUUGGUUACGAAUCUAGCGGGUCUUCUCAUCCCGGCUUGCUCUUCUCGAAGAGGCCGGUCCAAUACAUUGAUGCCUUCAUUUCUCUGCUUCAGGUCAUCAUGAUGAAGUCGGCGUCCUUUCUUCAGAAACUCCAUCGUACUUACGAAAGAAUAAAGGGUGGGCAUUCCGGGAGAAUAGACCUCUGCAAGGUCGACUAUCUGGUCGAUAACAUCGAGGAAGGUGGCGGAAGUAACUCUCGAAUUGAAACUUACAAAAAUAUUGAGAGCAAGGUAAGGAGGUAUCAUGGGAAGUUUCGAGCGGGCAGGCAAUCGUUCGAUGCCUGAAACAGGGCGUGAAAAGGGGUUCAAAGCAAUGGGAAUAAGUAUUGUGUCUGAUACUAGAAUUAAUGAUCUCUCGGAAGGUGGCUCGUGAAUCACAUACGAGGCCAAGUGCGAGGAAUUAACUUUGGAAACCGGGGGUGUAUAGGAGAGUCAGGUUUCGAUCCUGUGGAACUGUGGGUUAUGGGCCCACCAUGUGGGUUAAAAAUAAGGAGGGUGUUGUCAUCUUGCAUGGUCAUGAUAGCAAGGCAUGUCAGAAAAUAGUCUGUCAGUUAUGUCGCCAACAACGUCGGUACCAAGGGCGAGGGACGAAGGGAACCAUAGUCCUGCUCGUUGAACGAGGCGGACCAAUAGGCAAAGUUCUCGUCCAUCGGUGGUCAUCGGAAUGUUAUCAACAUAGUAACAGGGUCUUGCUGACAAAAUUGUACACCGAGAUGUUUGUACAAGUAGGGGAUUAUUACUGCUUAUAUCAUAUAGAUCACAAGAAAGGUUAAACAAACCAAUGUAAAGGAAAUGUGAUCAUCAGAUUAAAUGGAACAAUGGAAAAGAAAAUGUGUUUAAACACAUAUUUCAGGGGUAUAUCCUUCCCAAGGACAAGCAGAGCAUGAUAUCCGUGACAGGAUAUAAUGUAGAAAACUAUUUAGGUAAGGGGAGAGAAAUUUCAUGACAUUACCCAUACAGCGGUGUUUGGAUAAUUGAGCAGGAAACAUUUAGCAUUGUGCUUCAAAUGUUCUUGUUGAAAAUCGGAGUACCACGGACAUGCUUAGAGAUAGCAUUGGCAUGGUUUUCAAGCAAAGAUCAGACUUUUGGAUACACAAAGGAUCCAUCAUGAACAACUUAUAGAAUAAGUCUUACAAUUUCCUCAUGGAAGUAUGAUUAAUCUUGCUAAAAAGGAAACUAUAACAAUAGUUCCUCCGGGCAGGUGUGCUAGGCAUGACAUCACCUUGUUAUAACUCUUGGGAAUAUGUUCCAACCAUCAUAUCUGACCGAGAUUUAGAUCUGAUUGGUGUUACAAUACCUCAGAGUCAGGAUGCCUGGGAAGAAAAGGUGCAACACAAAUUGACGAGAUGUCAUUGUAAGAUUCUCGAGAAAUGAACUAUGGAAGCGAGUUCCAAAACAAGAGUUCAUCAUUUAACCAAGGAGAGGACGAUGAGGCAGCUGAUGGACUCAGCGACAAUUCCUCAAGAUUUCCAAAAGGAUGGAUUUCCACAAUUAUGUGAACAAGGGGGUAACAUUUGUCAGAUCAAAUGAUAUAAUGAUGUAUGCACGAGGAAAACAUACACAAUUAAACAUUGGUUGAAAGGUGCACCCAAAAUAUGGGCUUAGGUAGCAUGAUCAAUGUUUAGAAUGGUGAUUCGAUAACCAAUGGUCUAAGAAUGAAAUGUCAACCAUUAACUUCAAAGCAAUAGGGUUGCUAGAAGUUUUAAAUUCGCACAUCAUAGUUCAAUUGUCAUUUUUUUUUUAUUGGCCAGAAACAACACGGGGACCAAGGAAUGAACGGAGAUGGCAAGAACUAUCACUUGUAUCAAGAAUUUAUAAGAGGUGGUGAAAUUCUCACGACAUCCUUGACAAAAGGCAGUAAUACUACAAGGUAGAUCAUAAUACAAGUUGGAUAGCAAGUUGCAUCCAUAAGAUGAACAAGUUUGUGAUGAAAGGCAGGUAAGGAUGUUGUUGAUGGUAACUCAAAUUACCAAGGAACGAGGAUGGCACUUAUCGUCUAGAAUUCCAUUGAUAUCCUGGAAGGAGUCAAAAUGUUGAUGAUGAUCACGACAAUUUGUUGUCGAGAGGAUCCACAAAGAAGCAAUUGAAUAGCGACUGCAUCACGCAAAAGGACUGAUGCAACAAAAGAUUAUUGGAGCCACAGAUACGACACAAACUCGAAAUCAAUUUUGCUGCUUUUUAAGGCGAAAUUAUAUGAGGAGGAAGAUCGACGUAAGGUUAGCUCAUCAUCGAAAAUUGUGCUCCGGAAAGAAGGACCAGGUAGCACAGUUAAAAUUUAGCACAAUAAUGAUAUAGCCGAUCAGGCUAGGAAUGACUUGAAGGAUUAUUAAAGUCAUAAGCAACGAAGAUUACUUAGAGUUAUCAAACCAGAGUGCGGAAUCGGUUCACUUACCGGUGUUCUGGAGCGACUAACAACUCAUGACCCAUGAAAAAUUGGAAUCAGUGAGAAAUAAUAGCUGGUGGAGACUCCUAAGAUGCAACACAGUUCUUAGAUAUUCUCGAGAUACCAGAGGGUAAUACUCGACGGUAGAUCAAGGUAGAGGUUAGACUGGUGUAUUGACUUGCAAAAGACAAGUGCUUUAACUUGUCCGAGAAAUGGGAUCAAAGAGAAAAUAUGGUCGGAACCACGGUUGCAUAGGAUCAGUUCACAGAUACCAGAUGAUAUUAUAUCAACGAAAUAGUUAUUAUUACAAGAAGCUUCUAUGGUAGGAUCUACAUCGUGUCCAUGGGCAUGAACACAAAGUUCAAGGUCGACUCCCACUUCUUCAAUGUAUAACCUUCCAUUCACCUCUCACUUUCAAAGAAGUUGUAGUGUUGAAAUUUUAUCUAGCAAAACACCAGAAGAGUAUGACUCAUGAAAACUUUCGAGUUCACACAUAUUAAGGAAGGCAUAGGUUCAACCCGUCAGGGUAUCGUGGAAACAUAUACCACAAGCUUCAAUAGUAAAUAACACAAGCUCGAUAGUAGAGCAUCGUCGAAAAAAAUAGAGGAUACAAUUUACCUAAGGCAUUAGGUAUCAGGGAAAGAACUUCUCGAGGUUUUUGUAUACGAAGGACGCUGUCGGAUGAUAUUUCAACAAAUGAUCCGACGGUCCAUAGUGGAGCUGAUGUGAGCAUCGGCUCACAACCAGAGGAAGAAACAAUGCGAAGGCAUUGGAUUAUAGAAGAAAAUGACUAAUUUAAAGUUUAAUUGCCAAGGAAGUAUGAUUUCCAAAUCAAGGGAUCAGAAGCAAACGCUUUGAUUUAGGAUGGAUAAGCUGAGCCGGCUUAGGGGUACAAUCGACGGCAAUUUGAUUGGUCGAGAACCAGCUCCAGUUAAAAAUGACGGCUGAGCCGGAAAGAUAAUUUGUAAGGAUCAACUCAUGAUUGCGGACAUUCGCAACAUAUAGAAUCAAGGAAUCUCGAAAUUAUAAUGACAAAGGAUGUCAAUUAGAUUACCAGACUUAUGGUAAAUCAUAUUGCAAGCAAGAAUUUGAAGAGCAAUAGGCUGUUGGGGAUUUUCGGAAAAUCGAAUGGUAUUUCGAAAACAUUUGUGAAAUACAGUAAUCAACUGUGGAUGAAUGGAUACUCGAUAAGUGUGAGGAAUUAUCCGUAGGGGUAUUCAUGUGGUAAAGAACUGCAGGGCAGUAAGCUCAGAGGAUUCUCGGGACAACAGAGAGUAUUUCGGGGCGUCUUGUAAUAACAAGAUCAACGGGGAAUGAUUGUAUGAAUGGCAAGUUUAUGCAGUUUUCAUAGGGGUUGACGGUGAAAAGAAAUCGCAAAUGCGAUGGCACAAAGACUCGAGAGCACAUCAUAGAGUAUCUUCGGAAUCUUCUGGUGCAGCAGGCGGUCAUCGCUAACAAGGGGCUCUCCGGGAGGAAGUAGUUAUGAGAACCUAGAGUUAGAGUUAGUAAAACCAUUUAAUCCGAGUAGAAGAGAGAUAAGAGUCCUAGAGUAUAGACGAGGAAUAAAAGAUCCUAAUACCACCCAAUGACGACGUGGGCCCAUGGGCCGCACAGCCAUGUUAGUAAAAGUUUUGCAAUGACUAGACUCAACUUCGGCCAAGGAAUUGGAAGGGGGAUUCCUACAGGCAGUCGGCUCUGAUACCAACUUGUGACUCCCCCGAUUCAAUCGUACACUAAUCCUACACACAAACGUGUACGAUCAAGAUCAGGGACUCACGAGAAGAUAUCACAACACAACUCUAAAAAUAAAACAAGUCAUACAAGCAUCAUAAUACAAGCCAGGGGCCUUGAGGGCUCGAAUACAAGUGCUCAAUCAUAGACGAGUCAGCGGAAGCAACAAUAUCUGAGUACAGACAUAAGUUAAACAAGAUGCCAUAAGAUGGCUAGCACAAACUGGGAUACAGAUCGAAAGAGGCGCAGGCCUCCUGCGUGGGAUCCUCCUAAACUACUCCAGGUCGUCGUCAGCGGCCUGCACGUAGUAGUAGGCACCUCCGGUGUAGUAGGAGUCGUCGUCGACGGUGGCGUCUGGCUCCUGGGCUCCGGCAUCUGGUUGCGACAACCAGGUAGAAGGGAAGGGGGAAAAGAGGGAGAAAAGCAACCGUGAGUACUCAUCCAAAGUACUCGCAAGCAAGGAGCUACACUACAUAUGCAUGGGUAUAUGUGUAAAGGGCCAUAUCGGUGGACUGAACUGCAGGAUGCGAGAAUAAGAGGGGGAUAGCUAAUCAUGUCGAAGACUACGCUUCAGGCCACCACCAUCUUGCAGCAUGUAGAAGAGAGUAGAUGGUAAGUUCACCAAGUAGCAUCGUGUAGCAUAAUCCUACCUGGCGAUCCCCUCCUCGUCGCCCUGUUAGAGAGCGAUCACCGGGUUAUAUCUGGCACUUGGAAGGGUGUGUUUUGUUAAGUAUCUGGUUCUAGUUGUCAUAAGGUCAAGGUACAACUCCGGGUCGUCCUUUUACCGAGGGACACGGCUAUUCGAAUAGAUAAACUUCCCUGCAGGGGUGCACCACAUAACCCAACACGCUCGAUCCCAUUUGGUCGGACACACUUUUUGUUGGGGAACGUAGUAAUUUCAAAAAAAAUCCUAUGCACACGCAAGAUCAUGGUGAUGCAUAGCAACGAGAGGGGAGAGUGUUGUCCACGUACCCUCGUAGACCGAAAGCGGAAGCGUUAACACAACGCGGUUGAUGUAGUCGUACGUCUUCACGAUUCGACCGAUUAAGUACCGAACGCACGGCACCUCCGAGUUCAGCACACGUUCAGCUCGAUGACGUCCCUCGAACUCUGAUCCAGCCGAGUGUUGAGGGAGAGUUUCGUCUGCACGACGGCGUGGUGACGAUGAUGAUGUUCUACCGACGCAGGGCUUCGCCUAAGCACCGCUAUGAUAUUAUCGAGGUGUAAUAUGGUGGAGGGGGCACCGCACACGGCUAAGAGAUCAAUGAUCAAUUGUUGUGUCUAUGGGGUACCCCCUGCCCCCGUAUAUAAAGGAGCAAGGGGGAGGCAGCCGGCCAAGGAGGAGGGCGCGCCAAGGGGGGAGUCCUACUCCCACCGGGAGUAGGACUCCUCCUUUCCUUCUUGGAGUAGGAGAGAAGGAAAGAGGGAGAGAGGGAGAAGGAAAAGGGGGCUGCACCCCUUGCCCAAUUCAGACCAGAGGGGGGGGUGCGCGCCUCCUUCCUUUUGGCCUUUCUCCUCUAUUCCUGUAUGGCCCAAUAAGGCCCAAUACUUCUCCCCGGCGAAUUCCCGUAACUCUCCGGUACUCCGAUAAAUACCCGAAUCACUCGGAACCUUUCCGAAGUCCGAAUACAGUCGUCCAAUAUAUCGAUCUUUACGUCUCGGCCAUUUCGAGACUCCCCGUCAUGUCCCUGAUCUCACCUGGGACUCCGAACUCCUUCGGUACAUCAAAACACAUAAACUCAUAAUAUAACCGUCAUCUAACUUUAAGCGUGCGGACCCUACGGGUUCGAGAACUAUGUAGACAUGACCGAGACACGUCUCCUGUCAAUAACCAAUAGCGGAACCUGGAUGCUCAUAUUGGCUCCCACAUAUUCUACGAAGAUCUUUAUCGGUCAGACCGCAUAACAACAUACGUUGUUCCCUUUGUCAUCGGUAUGUUACUUGCCCGAGAUUCGAUCGUCGGUAUCUCAAUACCCAGUUCAAUCUCGUUACCGGCAAGUCUCUUUACUCGUUCUGUAAUACAUCAUCCCACAACUAACUCAUUAGUUGCAAUGCUUGCAAGGCUUAAGUGAUGUGCAUUACCGAGUGGGCCCAGAGAUACCUCUCCGACAAUCGGAGUGACAAAUCCUAAUCUUGAAAUACGCCAACCCAACAAGUACCUUCGGAGACACCUGUAGAGCACCUUUAUAAUCCCCCAGUUACGUUGUGACGUUUGGUAGCACACAAAGUGUUCCUCCAGUAAACGGGAGUUGCAUAAUCUCAUAGUCAUAGGAACAUGUAUAAGUCAUGAAGAAAGCAAUAGCAACAUACUAAACGAUCGAGUGCUAAGCUAACAGAAUGGGUCAAGUCAAUCACAUCAUUCUCCUAAUGAUGUGAUCCCGUUAAUCAAAUGACAACUCAUGUCUAUGGCUAGGAAACAUAACCAUCUUUGAUCAACGAGCUAGUCAAGUAGAGGCAUACUAGUGACACUCUGUUUGUCUAUGUAUUCACACAUGUAUCAAGUUUCCGGUUAAUACAAUUCUAGCAUGAAUAAUAAACAUUUAUCAUGAUAUAAGGAAAUAAAUAAUAACUUUAUUAUUUCCUCUAGGGCAUAUUUCCUUCAGUCUCCCACUUGCACUAGAGUCAAUAAUCUAGUUCACAUCGCCAUGUGAUUUAACAUCAAUAGUUCACAUCACCAUGUGAUUAACACCCAUAGUUCACAUCGUCAUGUGAUCAACACCCAAAGGGUUUACUAGAGUCAGUAAUCUAGUUCACAUCACUAUGUGAUUAACACCCAAAGAGUACUAAGGUGUGAUCAUGUUUUGCUUGUGAGAUAAUUUUAGUCAACGGGUCUGUCACAUUCAGAUCCGUAAGUAUUUUGCAAAUUUCUAUGUCUACAAUGCUCUGCACGGAGCUACUCUAGCUAAUUGCUCCCACUUUCAAUAUGUAUCUAGACCGAGACUUAGAGUCAUCUAGAUUAGUGUCAAAACUUGCAUCGACGUAACCCUUUACGAUGAACCUUUUGUCACUUCCAUAAUCGAGAAACAUAUCCUUAUUCCACUAAGGAUAAUUUUGACCGCUGUCCAGUGAUGUACUCCUAGAUCACUAUUGUACUCCCUUGCCAAAAUCAGUGUAGGGUAUUCAAUAGAUCUGGUACACAGCAUGGCAUACUUUACAGAACCUAUGGCCAAGACAUAGGGAAUGACUUUUAUUCUUUUUCUAUCUUCUGCCGUGGUCGGGCUUUGAGUCUUACUCAAUUUCACACCUUGUAACACGGGCAAGAAUCUCUUUCUUUGACUGUUCCAUUUUGAACCACUUCAAAAUCUUGUUUAAGGUAUGUACUCAUUGAAAAAACUUAUCAAGCGUCUCGAUCUAUCUCUAUAGAUCUUGAUGCUCAAUAUGUAAGCAGCUUCACCGAGGUCUUUCUUUGAAAAACUCCUUUCAAACACUCCUUUAUGCUUUGCAGAAUAAUUCUACAUUAUUUCCGAUCAACAAUAUGUCAUUCACAUAUACUUAUCAGAAAUGCUGUAGUGCUCCCACUCACUUUCUUGUAAAUACAGGCUUCACCGCAAGUCUGUAUAAAACUAUAUCCUUUGAUCAAUUUAUCAAAGCGUAUAUUCCAACUCCGAGAUGCUUGCACCAGUCCAUAGAUGGAUCGCUGGAGCUUGCAUAUUUUGUUAGCACCUUUAGGACUGACAAAACCUUCUGGUUGCAUCAUAUACAACUCUUCCUUAAUAAAUCCAUUAAGGAAUGCAGUUUUGUUUAUCCAUUUGCCAGAUUUCAUAAAAUGCGGCAGUUGCUAACAUGAUUCGGACAGACUUAAGCAUAGAUACGAGUGAGUAACUCUCAUCGUAGUCAACACCUUGAACUUGUCGAAAACCUUUUGCGACAAUUCUAGCUUUGUAGAUAGUAACACUACUAUCAGCGUCCGUCUUCCUCUUGAAGAUCCAUUUAAUCUCAAUGGCUCGCCGAUCAUUGGGCAAGUCAAUCAAACUCCGUACUUUGUUCUCAUACAUGGAUCCUAUCUCAGAUUUCAUGGCCUCAAGCCUUUUUGCGGAAUCUGGGCUCAUCAUCGCUUCCUCAUAGUUCGUAGGUUCGUCAUGGUCAAGUAACAUGACCUCCAGAACAGGAUUACCGUACCACUCUGGUGCGGAUUUCAUUCUGGUUGAUCUACGAGGUUCGGUAGUAACUUGAUCUGAAGUUACAUGAUCAUCAUCAUUAGCUUCCUCACUAAUUGGUGUAGGAAUCACAGGAACAAAUUUCUGUGAUGAACUACUUUCCAAUAAGGGAGCAGGUACAGUUACCUCAUCAAGUUCUAUUUUCCUCCCACUCACUUCUUUCGAGAGAAACUCCUUCUCUAGAAAGGAUCCAUUCUUAGCAACGAAUGUCUUGCCUUUCGGAUCUGUGAUAGAAGGUGUACCCAACUGUCUCCUUUGGGUAUCCUAUGAAGACACAUUUCUCCGAUUUGGGUUUGAGCUUAUCAGGAUGAAACUUUUUCACAUAAGCAUCGUAGCCCCAACUUUAAGAAACGACAACUUUGGUUUCUUGCCAAACCACAGUUCAUAAGGCGUCGUCUCAACGGAUUUUGAUGGUGCCCUAUUUAACGUGAAUGCAGCUGUCUCUAAUGCAUAACCCCAAAACGAUAGUGGUAGAUCGGUAAGUGACAUCAUAGAUCGCACCAUAUCUAAUAAAGUACGGUUACGAUGUUCAGACACACCAUUACACUGUGGUGUUCCAGGUGGCGUGAGUAGUGAAACUAUUUCAUGUUGUUUUAACUGAAGACCAAACUCGUAACUCAAAUAUUCUACCUCUGCGAUCAUAUCGUAGAAAAUUUUCUUGUUACGAUGAUUUUCUACUUCACUCUGAAAUUCUUUUGAACUUUUCAAACGUUUCAGGCUCAUGUUUUAUCAAGUAGAUAUAUCCAUAUCUGCUCAAAUCAUCUAUGAAGGUCAGAAAAUAACGAUACUUGCCGCGAGCCUUAACACUCACCGGACUGCAUACAUCAGUAUGUAUUAUUUCCAAUAAGUCAGUUGCUCGCUCCAUUGUUCCGGAGAACGGCGUUUUAGUCAUCUUGCCCAUGAGGCAUGGUUCGCAAGCAUCAAGUGAUUCCAAAAUCCCAUCAGCAUGGAGCUUCUUCAUGCGCUUUACACCAAUAUGACCUAAACAGCAGUGCCACAAAUAAGUUGCACUAUCAUUAUUAACUUUCCAUCUUUUGGCUUCAAUAUUUAUGAAUAUGUGUAUCACUACGAUCGAGAUCCAACAAACCAUUUUCAUUGGGUGUAUGGCCAUAGAAGGUUUUAUUCAUGUAAAUAGAACAACAAUUAUUCUCUAACUUAAAUGAAUAACUAUAUUGCAAUAAACAUGAUCAAAUCAUAUUCAUGCUCAACGCAAACACCAAACAACACUUAUUUAGGUUCAACACUAAUCCCGAAAGUAUAGGGAGUGUGCGAUGAUGAUCAUAUCAAUCUUGGAACCACUUCCAAUACACAUCGUCACUUCAUCCUUAACUAGUUUCUGUUUAUUAUGCAACUCCCGUUUCGAGUUACUACUCUUUAGCAACUGAACCAGUAUCAAAUACCGAGGGGUUGCUACGAACACUAGUAAAAUACACAUCAAUAAUUUGUAUAUCAAAUAUACCUUUGUUCACUUUGCCAUCCUUCUUAUCCACCAAAUACUUGGGCAGUUCCGCUUCCAGUGACCAGUCCCUUUGCAGUAGAAGCACUUAGUCUCAGGCUUAGGUCCAGACUUGGGCUUCUUCACUUGAGCAGCAACUUGCUUGCCGUUCUUCUUGAAGUUCGCCUUCUAUCCCUUUGCCCUUUUCUAAAACUAGUGGUCUUGUUAACCAUCAACACUUGAUGCUCUUUCUUGAUUUCUACCUUCGUCGAUUUCAGCAUCGCGAAGAGCUCGGGAAUUACUUUCGUCAUCCCUUUCAUACUAUAGUUCAUCACGAAGUUCUACUAACUUGGUGAUGGUGACUAGAGAAUUCUGCUAAUCACUAUUUUAUCUGGAAGAUUAACUCCCACUUGAUUCAAGCAAUUCUAGUACCCAGACAAUCGGAGCACAUGCUCACUGCUUGAGCUAUUCUCCUCCAUCUUUUAGCUAUAGAACUUGUUGGAGACUUCAUAUCUCUCAACUCGGGUAUUUGCUUGAAAUAUUAACUUCAACUCCUGGAACACCUUAUAUGGUCCAUGACAUUCAAAACGUCUUUGAAGUCCCGAUUCUAAGCCGUUUAAGCAUGGUGUACUAAACUAUCAAGUAGUCAUCAUAUUGAGCUAGCCAAACGUUCAUAACGUCUGCAUCUGCUCCUGCAAUAGGUCUGUCACCUAGCGGUGCAUCAAGGACAUAAUUCUUCUGUGCAGCAAUGAGGAUAAUCCUCAAAUCACGGAUCCAAUCCGCAUCAUUGCUACUAACAUCUUUCAACUUAGUUUUCUCUAGGAACAUAUCAAAAAUAAAAUAGGGGAGCUAAACGCGAGCUAUUGAUCUACAACAUAGAUAUGCUAAUACUAUCAGGACUAAGUUCAUGAUAAAUUAAAGUUCACUUAAUCAUAUUACUUAAGAACUCCCACUUAGAUAGACAUCCCUCUAAUCCUCUAAGUGAUCACGUGAUCCAUAUCAACUAAACCAUGUCCGAUCAUCACGUGAGAUGGAGUAGUUUCAAUGGUGAACAUCACUAUGUUGAUCAUAUCUACUAUAUGAUUCACGCUCGACCUUUCAGUCUCCGUGUUCCGAGGCCAUAUCUGUUAUAUGCUAGGCUCGUCAAGUUUAACCUGAGUAUUCCGCGUGUGCAACUGUUUUACACCCGUUGUAUUUGAACGUAGAGCCUAUCACACCCGAUCAUCAUGUGGUGUCUCAGCACGAAGAACUUUCGCAACGGUGCAUACUCAGGGAGAACACUUAUACUUUGAUAAUUUAGUGAGGGAUCAUCUUAGAAUGCUACCGUCAAUCAAAGCAAGAUAAGAUGCAUAAAAGAUAAACAUCACAUGCAAUCAAUAUAAGUGAUAUGAUAUGGCCAUCAUCAUCUUGUGCUUGUGAUCUCCAUCUCCGAAGCACCGUCAUGAUCCCCAUCGUCACCGGCGCGACACCUUGAUCUCCAUCGUAGCAUCGUUGUCGUCUCGCCAACUAUUGCUUCUAUGACUAUCGCUACCGCUUAGUGAUAAAGUAAAGCAAUUACAUGGCGAUUGCAUUGCAUACAAUAAAGCGACAACCAUAUGGCUCCUGCCAGUUGCCGAUAACUCGGUUACAAAAUAUGAUCAUCUCAUACAAUAAAAUUUAGCAUCAUGUCUUGACCAUAUCACAUCACAACAUGCCCUGCAAAAACAAGUUAGACGUCCUCUACUUUGUUGUUGCAAGUUUUACGUGGCUGCUACUGGGCUUAGCAAGAACCGUUCUUACCUACGCAUCAAAACCACAACGAUAGUUUGUCAAGUUGGUGCUGUUUUAACCUUCGCAAGGACAGGGCGUAGCCACACUCGGUUCAACUAAAGUUGGAGAAACUGACACCCGCCAGCCACCUCUGUGCAAAGCACGUCGGAAGAACCAGUCUCGCGUAAGCGUACGCCUAAUGUCGGUCCGGACCGCUUCAUCUAAUAAUACCGCCGAACCAAAGUAUGACAUGCUGGUAAGCAGUAUGACUUAUAUCGCCCACAACUCACUUGUGUUCUACUCGUGCAUAUAACAUCAAUGCAUAAAACCAGGCUCGGAUGCCACUGUUGGGGAACGUCGUCAUUUCAAAAAAAUUCCUACGCAGACGCAAGAUCAUGGUGAUGCAUAGCAACGAGAGGGGAGAGUGUUGUCCACGUACCCUCGUAGACCGAAAGCGGAAGUGUUAACACAACGCGGUUGAUGUAGUCGUACGUCUUCACGAUCCAACCGAUUAAGUACCGAACGCAUGGCACCUCCGAGUUCAGCACACGUUCAGCUCAAUGACGUCCCUCGAACUCCGAUCCAGCCGAGUGUUGAGGGAGAGUUUCGUCAGCACGACGACGUGGUGACGAUGAUGAUGUUCUACCGACGCAGGGCUUCGCCUAAGCACCGCUACGAUAUUAUCGAGGUGUAAUAUGGUGGAGGGGGCACCGCACACGGUUAAGAGAUCAAUGAUCAAUUGUUGUGUCUAUGGGGUGCCCCCUGCCCCCGUAUAUAAAGGAGCAAGGGGGAGGCGGCCGGCCAAGGAGGAGGGCGCGCAAGGGGGGAGUCCUACUCCCACGGGGAGUAGGACUCCUCCUUUCCUUGUUGGAGUAGGAGAGAAGGAAAGAGGGAGAGAGGGAGAAGGAAAAGGGGGCUGCACCCCUUGUCCAAUUCGGAUCAGGGGGGUGCGCGCCUCCUUCCUUUUGGCCUUUCUCCUCUAUUCCCGUAUGUCCCAAUAAGGCCCAAUACUUUUCCCCGGCGAAUUCCCGUAACUCUCCGGUACUCCGAUAAAUACCCGAAUCACUCGGAACCUUUCCGAAGUCCGAAUAUAGUUGUCCAAUAUAUCGAUCUUUACGUCUCCGCCAUUUCGAGACUCCUCGUCAUGUCCCUGAUCUCAUCCGGGACUCCGAACUCCUUCGGUACAUCAAAACACAUAAACUCAUAAUAUAACUGUCAUCUAACUUUAAGCGAGCGGACCCUACGGGUUCGAGAACUAUGUAGACAUGACCAAGACACGUCUCCUGUCAAUAACCAAUAGCGGAACCUGGAUGCUCAUAUUGGCUCCCACAUAUUCUACGAAGAUCUUUAUCGGUCAGACCGCAUAACAACAUACGUUGUUCCCUUUGUCAUCGGUAUGUUACUUGCCCGAGAUUCGAUCGUCGGUAUCUCAAUACCUAGUUCAAUCUCGUUACUGGCAAGUCUCUUUACUCGUUCUGUAAUACAUCAUCCCACAACUAACUCAUUAGUUGCAAUGCUUGCAAGGCUUAAGUGAUGUGCAUUACCGAGUGGGCCCACAGAUACCUCUCCGACAAUCGGAGUGACAAAUCCUAAUCUUGAAAUACGCCAACCCAACAAGUACCUUCGGAGACACCUGUAGAGCACCUUUAUAAUCACCCAGUUACGUUGUGACGUUUGGUAGCACACAAAGUGUUCCUCCGGUAAACGGGAGUUGCAUAAUCUCAUAGUCAUAGGAACAUGUAUAAGUCAUGAAGAAAGCAAUAGCAACAUACUAAACGAUCGAGUGCUAAGCUAACGGAAUGGGUCAAGUCAAUCGCAUCAUUCUCCUAAUGAUGUGAUCCCGUUAAUCAAAUGACAACUCAUGUCUAUGGCUAGGAAACAUAACCAUCUUUGAUCAACGAGCUAGUCAAGUAGAGGCAUACUAGUGACACUCUGUUUGUCUAUGUACUCACACAUGUAUCAAGUUUUCGGUUAAUACAAUUCUAGCAUGAAUAAUAAACAUUUAUCAUGAUAUAAGGAAAUAAAUAAUAACUUUAUUAUUGCCUCUAGGGCAUAUUUCCUUCACUUUUCUGCGUCAUGUCCGGCUGCGGAAGAUCAACACGUCGCAGCCCUACCUAGGCACAACAGAGAGGUCAGCACGCCGGUCUAAAUCCUAUGCGCGCAGGGGUCUGGGCCCAUCGCCCAUUGCACACCUGCACGUUGCGUACGCGGCCGGAGAGCAGACCUAGCAACCUCCAUUUCAAAGGAAGUCACGUUACGCGGUCCAACCCGGCGCGCGCCGCUUAGUCGCUGACGUCACGAAGGCUUCGGCUGAUACCCCGACGUCAAGUGCCCAUAACUAUUCCCGCAUAGUUGGUUAGUGCGUAUAGACCAAAUGGCCAGACUCAGAUCAAAUACCAAGAUCUCGUUAACCGUGUUAAUUGAUGUAACCGCGGACACCGACCAGGGCCAGGCCCACCUCUCACCUAGGUAGUCUCAACCUGCCCUGUCGCUCCACCACAAAGAUCCACCCAGAGGGCCGUCGGGACAAAGGUCCUUUCAGCCCCCAAUCCGUGAAUCACUCGCGGGUACUCCUUGAGCCGACCCGACUUUAGUCACCACAUGUAUCAUGUAUAAAGUAUAUAGUAUAUACCCGUGAUCACCUCCCGAGUGAUCACGGCCCGAUAGUAUAGCACAGCAGACGGACAAGAAUGUAGGGCCACUGAUGGAAAACUAACAUCCUAUACUAAGUAUGUAGGAUUGCAGGUAAAGGUAACAACAGUAGUGGCAAAGACAGGCUAUGCAGCAGAAUAGGAUUAACGGAAAGCAGUAACAUGCUACGCUACUCUAAUGCAAGAGUAUAGAGAAGAAUAGGCGAUAUCUGGUGAUCAACGGGGGGCUUGCCUGGUUUCUCUGGCAAGAAGGAGGGGUCUUCAACAGCGUAGUCAAUCGGGGCACCAGCAACGGCGUCGGUCUCGUAGUCUACCGGAGAGAAAAGGGGGAGGAAACAAUGAAUACAAUGCAAACAGAUGCAUAACGAUGCAUGACAAAGCAAACAGCCUUGUUAGGUGUGCCCUAACGCGGUAAGAGCUGAUACCGGCGAAGGGGGGAAACAUCCGGGAAAGUAUCCCUGGUGUUUCGCGUUUUCGGACAGAGGAACCGGAGGAGGAAAGUUGCGAGUUCGAUAUGUUAGGGAUGUGUGGCGGACGAACGGGCUGCGUAUCCGGAUUCGUCUCGUCGUUCUGAGAAACUUUCAUGUAGAAAGUAUUUUCAUCUGAGCUACGGUUUAUUUUAUAUGAUUUUCUAAAGUUUUAAAUCAUUUUUAGAAUUUAUUUAAUUAAUUUAAUUCAACAUUAUCCAGAACAGUGCAUGCUGACGUCAGCAUGACGUCAGCAGUCAACAGGGGUGUUUACUGGUCAAACUGACGUGUGGGUCCCGUUCGUCAUUGACUAGACUAACUAAUCAUGAUUAAUUAGUUUAAUUAGUUGUUUAGCUUAAUUAAUCAAAAUUAAUUAAGUUAAUUAAUUAAUUAAUAUCUUAAUCAUUAUAUUUUUAAUUCCUUUCUUUCUUUCUUUUUUUAACGUCUGGGGGCUGGGCCCCACGUGUCAUUCGACCAGGGGGCCGAUGCGGGUUACGGGCACUAGGUGCUAACGGGCACAGCCGAACGGGCGCUGGCCCACGGGGGCGCACCCGACUGGGCGCCGUGGGGCGGCUGGUGGGCGCGGGCGCCAGCACAUCGGCGUGGAGCUCCGGUGGCUGCGACCGAGCAGAGCAUGGGGAGGGCCGCGACUGCCGACACGCAGCAGGGCGGCCGGAGGCGGACGACGGGCGCGCGAGGCCGCGGCAAGAGGGGCGGAGGCUCCUUGGCGUGAGACAGGGCGAGCGGGAAGGAGCAGCGCGUGCGGGUGCGGCGAGCGGGCGGCAGAGGUGACGGGACCGACGAGNNNNNNNNNNNNNNNNNNNNNNNNNNNNNNNNNNNNNNNNNNNNNNNNNNNNNNNNNNNNNNNNNNNNNNNNNNNNNNNNNNNNNNNNNNNNNNNNNNNNNNNNNNNNNNNNNNNNNNNNNNNNNNNNNNNNNNNNNNNNNNNNNNNNNNNNNNNNNNNNNNNNNNNNNNNNNNNNNNNNNNNNNNNNNNNNNNNNNNNNNNNNNNNNNNNNNNNNNNNNNNNNNNNNNNNNNNNNNNNNNNNNNNNNNNNNNNNNNNNNNNNNNNNNNNNNNNNNNNNNNNNNNNNNNNNNNNNNNNNNNNNNNNNNNNNNNNNNNNNNNNNNNNNNNNNNNNNNNNNNNNNNNNNNNNNNNNNNNNNNNNNNNNNNNNNNNNNNNNNNNNNNNNNNNNNNNNNNNNNNNNNNNNNNNNNNNNNNNNNNNNNNNNNNNNNNNNNNNNNNNNNNNNNNNNNNNNNNNNNNNNNNNNNNNNNNNNNNNNNNNNNNNNNNNNNNNNNNNNNNNNNNNNNNNNNNNNNNNNNNNNNNNNNNNNNNNNNNNNNNNNNNNNNNNNNNNNNNNNNNNNNNNNNNNNNNNNNNNNNNNNNNNNNNNNNNNNNNNNNNNNNNNNNNNNNNNNNNNNNNNNNNNNNNNNNNNNNNNNNNNNNNNNNNNNNNNNNNNNNNNNNNNNNNNNNNNNNNNNNNNNNNNNNNNNNNNNNNNNNNNNNNNNNNNNNNNNNNNNNNNNNNNNNNNNNNNNNNNNNNNNNNNNNNNNNNNNNNNNNNNNNNNNNNNNNNNNNNNNNNNNNNNNNNNNNNAGUUCGUGCCCCGAUCCAGAACGAGCGGAGAGGGAGAGGGGAUCGGGGCGAGGGGAUCGUGGGGAGGGAAAGUGGGGAUGAGUGGGGAGGGAACCGCCAGGGUUUCGGUCGCCUAGGGGGAUAAGGGAGCGAUGGGGGCGGCUGGGCCUGUGGGCUGGUGGGUUGGAUGCCCAGUUGGGCCAAACGGCGGAAGGGGAGGGGGGAAGGCCCGGGGUUUUCUUUCUUUCCUUUUUCUUUGUUUUCUUUUUAUUUCAACUUCUUUUUCUAUUUAGUUUCUAAGCCAUUUUAGUCUUAAUAAGAACAAAAGUUGCUCCACAAUUAGUAUAGUAAUAUAGGCUACUGUCACAAAAAGGUUCGGGGCAAAUAAAAUAGUUUGGAGAUUUCUACCAUUUUGAAAAUGCAUUUUAAUAAAUAAUUGACCCAUGUUUUAAUUAUUUUAGGCCACUUAAUUACUUUACAAAAAGUUGAUUUCACCACCAUAAUUGCCUACGGAUUAUUUACCACCUUUUGAACAUUUUAGUUUGACAUUUGAAAACUUUUUAUAGUUUGACUUUAUUUUAAAUUUGAAUCCGAAGCAAUUUUGAAUCUAAGCGAGAUUAUCAACAGUAAUCGUGGUGACUUGGCAUCAUUAGUAGGGGGUUACUGUAACUUGAUUAUCCGG